This 160-nucleotide non-coding RNA is filed under the name Acanthisitta chloris (rifleman). Its description in RNAcentral is "Eukaryotic large subunit ribosomal RNA". It matches the Rfam family "Eukaryotic large subunit ribosomal RNA", at positions 2825 to 2984 of the family's 3401-position model. The record is from Rfam by way of RNAcentral. Lineage: Eukaryota; Metazoa; Chordata; Aves; Passeriformes; Acanthisittidae.
GAUAACUGGCCUGUGGCAGCCAAGUGUUCAUAGAGCUGUCGCUUUUUGAUCCUUCGAUACCAGCUCUUCCUAUCAUGGUGAAGCAGAAUUCACCAAGCAUUGGAUUGUUUACCCACUAACAGGGAACAUGAGCUGGGUUUAGACUGUCAUGAGACAGGUU